This 449-nucleotide ribosomal RNA is filed under the name uncultured bacterium. RNAcentral describes it as "partial 16S ribosomal RNA". It matches the Rfam family "Bacterial small subunit ribosomal RNA", at positions 29 to 523 of the family's 1533-position model. The record is from RNAcentral.
AGCGAACGCUGGCGGCAGGCCUAACACAUGCAAGUCGAACGAAGUCUUCGGACUUAGUGGCGGACGGGUGAGUAACACGUGGGAACGUACCUUUUGGUUCGGAACAACUCAGGGAAACUUGAGCUAAUACCGAAUGUGCCCUUCGGGGGAAAGACUUAUCGCCAUUAGAGCGGCCCGCGUUAGAUUAGCUAGUUGGUGGGGUAAAGGCCCACCAAGGCUACGAUCUAUAGCUGGUCUGAGAGGAUGAUCAGCCACACUGGGACUGAGACACGGCCCAGACUCCUACGGGAGGCAGCAGUGGGGAAUCUUGCGCAAUGGGCGAAAGCUUGACGCAGCCAUGCCGCGUGAAUGAUGAAGGUCUUAGGAUUGUAAAAUUCUUUCAGUAGGGACGAUAAUGACGGUACCUACAGAAGAAGCCCCGGCUAACUUCGUGCCAGCCGCCGCCGUAA